GAGACUCUGUGCGCGUGCAUAUCAAUAAGCGGAGGAAAAGGAACUAACAAGGAUUCCCCUAGUAACGGCGAGUGAAGCGGGAAGAGCUCAAAUUUGAAAUCUUCAAGGGUUUACCUUGACGAAUUGUAGUUUAAAGAAGUGUUUUCUGUUAGAGAGGUGGUAAAAGUUCUUUGGAAUAGGACAUCAUAGAGGGUGAGAAUCCCGUAUUUGAUCACUUUCUACUAACGUUGUGAUACACUUUCAAAGAGUCGGAUUGUUUGGGAAUGCAGUCCAAAAUGGGUGGUAAAUUUCAUCUAAAGCUAAAUAUUGGCGAGAGACCGAUAGCGAACAAGUACCGUGAGGGAAAGAUGAAAAGAACUUUGAAAAGAGAGUUAAACAGUACGUGAAAUUGUCAAAAGGGAAGCGUUUGACACCAGUGUUGUUUUUCCGAAAAUCAAUUAAGAAUGGCCGGAUUUUAAGUUUCAUGACCUUAAAAGCUUGUUUCUUAUUUUUCUUGUCUUUCUUAAUGCACUUUUCGGUUAACAAGUCAACAUCAAUUUCUUUUGUUGUAAAAGGUUAAGAGGAAGGUGGCUUUACUUUCGGGUAAAGUGUUUAUAGCCUUUUAACUCUGCAAUCGGAGAGAUUGAGGUCUGCAGCGUAGAUCCUUCGGGGCUAGAUACGUUUGUGCUAAGUUAUAGCUUUUCAUAGACAACUUGUUGACUAUGUUUAGUCUUGUAGCUUACUCGCAUGCGCUAUUUUACCUACGCUUAGGAUGUUGACGAUCAGCUGAGCGCG
This 774-nucleotide ribosomal RNA is filed under the name uncultured Neocallimastigales. Its description in RNAcentral is "partial large subunit ribosomal RNA". It matches the Rfam family "Eukaryotic large subunit ribosomal RNA", at positions 23 to 639 of the family's 3401-position model. Lineage: Eukaryota; Fungi; Neocallimastigomycota; Neocallimastigomycetes; Neocallimastigales. The record is from RNAcentral.